Lutra lutra (Eurasian river otter) is the source of this 498-nucleotide long non-coding RNA. RefSeq lists it as uncharacterized. Lineage: Eukaryota; Metazoa; Chordata; Mammalia; Carnivora; Mustelidae. The transcript is spliced from 3 exons. The record is from RefSeq and is a predicted model, not a curated record.
AAGACCACAUCACAGAGAAACUGUUAUCUGAAAGUACACUGGUGACAAAAAAAGCUUUCAGUACAUAUCUUAGCAAGAUCUUGUAUGUGCUCAAAUAGCCACCUUCUUUUGUGACCACUGGAGUUAAUAGUCUAAUUGUGUGCCUAUGAAAUAUUAUCACAGACUUAAGGCCAGUAGAGCCAGGCCUCAGCAUGGUCUUUCUAGGGAACUACUUCCUCUUCAGGAGACAUGUACUACAAGCUAUGGCUCAUAUUUAUCAGCAGGAAUCAGAGCAAAAACAAACAAAAAACAUGUGUGAGGAUGGAGCGUGGAGAUGCUCAACAAGAAGGGGCAGAAUAUAGAGCUGAGUAGGGUUGGGAAGAUACAUCUGUUUCUUCUCCCUCAUUUGAUAUGAUCCAGUAAAAUCCAAGCUUUGGAGACGCUUGCCUGGAACAUCAAUGAUUACUUGAUUUCUCAGCACAUAAAUCUAACUCCAGUCCUUGUUGGGCAUAUAUUAGU